Molecule: small nuclear RNA, 106 nt
Organism: Otolemur garnettii (small-eared galago)
Lineage: Eukaryota; Metazoa; Chordata; Mammalia; Primates; Galagidae
Source: Ensembl
AGGCUCACUUUGUCAGCACAUAUACAAAAAUUGAAAUGACACAGAAAGAUUAGCAUGGCCCUUGCACAACGAUGAUGCACAAAUUGUAAAGUAUCCCUUAAUUGUG